RNAcentral lists this ribosomal RNA (400 nucleotides) under uncultured bacterium. RNAcentral describes it as "bacterial SSU rRNA". It matches the Rfam family "Bacterial small subunit ribosomal RNA", at positions 355 to 747 of the family's 1533-position model. The record is from RNAcentral.
UGGGGAAUCUUGCGCAAUGGGCGAAAGCCUGACGCAGCGACGCCGCGUGGAGGAUGAAGGCCUUCGGGUUGUAAACUCCUGUUAAGUGGGAAGAAAGGCUCAGUUAUAAUACAGCUGAGAGAUGACUGUACCACUAGAGAAAGCACUGGCUAACCUCGUGCCAGCAGCCGCGGUAAUACGAGGGGUGCAAGCGUUAUUCGGAAUUAUUGGGCGUAAAGGGUGUGUAGGUGGUUUAUUAAGUCGAUUGUUAAAGAUCUCGGCCUAACUGAGAAAAUGCGGUCGAAACUGAUAGGCUUGAGGGUGGAAGAGAGAAGUGGAAUUCUCGGAGUAGCGGUAAAAUGCGUAGAUCUCGAGAGGAACACCGAUGGCGAAGGCAGCUUCUUGGGCCAUUCCUGACACU